UGCAACAAGUAAGACUGAUUGCUGGUCAAGU
This 31-nucleotide non-coding RNA is filed under the name Homo sapiens (human). The record is from RNAcentral. Lineage: Eukaryota; Metazoa; Chordata; Mammalia; Primates; Hominidae.